Molecule: unclassified non-coding RNA, 4551 nt
Filed under: Hevea brasiliensis (rubber tree)
Lineage: Eukaryota; Viridiplantae; Streptophyta; Magnoliopsida; Malpighiales; Euphorbiaceae
Source: RNAcentral
GGAGAACAGAAGGAGAGAAGAUAACAGAGGCAGAAGAGAAGUGAAGAGAUGUCAUCCACCGAAACACAGCACCAAACAUACUGGUGCCACGAAUGCGACAUGAGCCUCCACCUCCUCUCCACCACUGCUGAUCCCCUUCUUUGCCCUCACUGCCUCCGUGACCGUCUUGAACUCAUGGAUGACCCCACCCCCACUACUCCUACCGGAACCACCGACACCAACUCUUUCUUCCUCGAUAGCCCCUCCUUCCGCCGCUUCUUUCUCCCACUUUUCAACGACAUCAACCAUUCCGACGAUGAUACAAGUGGAACUCUCUCCCCCUCCAUAGACUCCAUCCUUCCCACCAUCAAAAUCACAUCUUUCCAUCUGAAGGGAAGGGAGGACGACGACCCAGUGCUUCUCUGCGCGGUAUGCAAGGACCAGUUUGUCAUCGACAUCGAUGCAAAGCUCCUCCCUUGCAAUCACUUGUUCCAUCCCGAAUGCAUUCUGCCCUGGCUUAAUUCCAACCACAGGUCAUGUCCUCUCUGUCGCUUCCAGCUACCUACACCAUCAAAGAACGAUAGAACGGUGGUUCCUACGAGUGAGUCGUCCUCUCAUUUGUCAUCUCCAUCGCACAUGGCGGAAGUGCGAGAGCCUGAGCAGUUGGUGGACUGCAUUGGAAGCUUUAAUAAUGCUGGGAUGGAAACGGGAUUUACUCAUCAGGAUACUGCUGAUUGUGCUUUCCCUGAUGUUGGGGUUUUAUCCAGCUAUCUUCCUUCACACUUUUAGGUAAGUAACUUGCAUUCUUUAUUCAUAUAAUCAGCUAUGUAAUAUGCAUUUGAUUUGGGUCUUCACAUUGGUGCUUUGUGCCUAGCUAAUCUAUUCAUUACAUGUUCAUUUUCAAAGGAAUGUGAAUUAAUAGACUUUGCUUCUCAAUUCCAAAAUAUUUUACUAAUUUGACUAUUGGUGUUUCAGAUUUUGAGGAUUGUCAAAUGGAUUAUAACAUAGGAGUAUGAAAUGCUUAAUUUCAGAGUUCAUAUGGGAUCAGGGUCACUGUUGGGUUAUUUGCUGAUCUCAUUUUUUUUCCCAAUAUGCGUCUUAAAAUCAUCUCCUGUUCAAUUAAAAACAAGGGGUAGCAUUUACAACUGAUUUAGUCUCAGAAGCCUUUAAAACUAUUGUUUUUAGCCUUUAAUUUUGCUUUUUUCAGUUAAUAGAUACCAGGAUGAACAAUAGCCUUUUUGGAGAAGGCAAUAUUAGAAGCCACAAAGAUGAAAUUUAUGUUAAUCUUGGAAUUGUGUACGUAGUUUUCAGUGGCUUUUGAUCAGAUAUUUUUGCUGAAACUUUCCCUUUACUGCUUUUGAAUUUCAUAUUUCUUAGAUGAUUAAAUUUCAAGUAUUUACGGAAUUUUGUCAACUUUUGUUUUCUGUUAGCUUACUGAUCUCUAUUUCCCUUCCAUUCAACUAAUUCUUUUUAAAUGAAAAACCAUUUUGAAGGCUUCCACCUAGAUUACUAUUUCUCGACGUUGUUCUUGUUACAUUAUAAGCUUCUACUUUCAAUAAUCAUCGAAUUUUGACUGCAUUCGUUUAUUGUUUUUCUAAAUACUAAUGUCUGUGGCAAAUAGAUAUUCAUGCAUAAGUUUUGUGUUUUACAACCUUAAAGAACAAUUUUCGUGCCUAAUCAUGCUAAUUUUCCAAGUUUACAAUUUUAGUUCAUGAAUAACAGCUUAAUGUAUGUUAAUUUGUCUAUGUGGAUUUGUGCAUAGGACUAUGCAAGUUUAAAGAAGGCGGAACAAAAUAAUCAUGUUUAGAUACUUGAGCUAGGUCUUGGCGGUAUAAAAGGUGAGGAUGUAAAGGUAGGAGGCUAGGAGCAGUUCAUCUAUUUAGAUGGACCUUGACUCAAGAUCAAAUUCUAGUUGAGCUAGGCCAAAGAAUGAACAGAAAACUAAUUUAUGUUCUUGGGUGAAUAUAUACAGUAGGAUUGAUAUUGUGUUGUAGAAAUACAGAACAUUCAGGACUUAUACAAGUAAAUGCAAGCCUUGAAAGAAGAAAAAAAAGUGAUGAUAGACUUACAUAGUCUAAGGAAUUUUGACUGGCAUAAAGGUUUUCUAAAAUCUUGGACCGUAUGAUAUUCUAGACCUACAUUUGAUGAGUUUUAUCAUAUAAGAAUGCAAAUUUUUUACUUAGUCUUGUUGUUGAGGCAAGUCUUGUUGUUGAGGCAAAAGUAAACUUGUUUUAUUGAAAUUUUACAUGAAUUAAAUGAAGACAUGACUGAACUUCCCUUUUUAAAGUAAAUAUGGAUUGUUUUCUUUGUAGUCCCAAGAAGUUUGCUCCUAGGUAUUCUAAUUAACUACAACAAGACUGCACCUAAAAAAUUGACUGGACAUGAGUGAUAUCACCAUAUUAGAUAGAGUGGAGGACUCUAGACACCAGUAUGGUGAGACUUUUGCUGCCUAGUUACACAGGAAUCAGACCAUUUGGGCAGAGCCCAUCUGAGAUCAUGAGAUUGUUUCUAGAUGUCCUGCUUAGCCUGGUACUGGCUUGAUUAGUAGCCCACUUCUUUAGCUAGCAUGUCAGUUAAUUAUUUCUUGAUAUGGUCUGCUUCAUUUCACAAUUGAGGCUGAGAAUUGCUAUUUAUAAUCCAUUUCGUACUCUUUGAGGCAGGUGAUUUAACAGUAUUAUUUGAGGUUUUCGUUGGUUUUCUCAUCUUAAAACGGUUUAAUGAAGUGUAAAUCAGCACUGAGUGAUCAUGGUACUGCGAAUAACGAUUGACGGUAUGAAGGACUUGCUGGGCUUUUGUAAUCAUCCAUCAGUCUAAUGAAUUGUAAAUCAGCAGCAGAUGAACGUACAACUGCAAAUAAUAUUUUACGGUUGUGCAUUCUCCCUCCCUCUCUCUAUCUCUAAGAAUAUUGUGUAAGCCAAUAUCUACUUUUGGGACUGGAUUUUGACUAAUAAAUAGAAAGGUCAGUUGCAACUCUGGCUUCUAAUUGCAAUUUGCAUGGAAAUUGUGGAGCUCAUAAUUCUGUUGUUCAGCUAAUCAUUUUACUUUGCCAUGAUUUUCUCCAUUCAUCAUUCUUUCUUGGCUUGAGCAAAGAAAAAGUUGAGUAAGAAAGAUCCAACUGUUUGAUUGUCAGUGUUGCUUAAGGCAGUGGUCCUGGUUCAUAAUUUUUCACUGGAUGUUGAGAAAACAAAUAGAAAAGUCGGCAGCAACUUGAGUUAUAUGAAAGACCACCUAUGGCUAAGGGUUUCUUGUCUGUUAAAAGGUCGUUUGGUGUUUGGGAUCUUUACUCUAAUGGAAUCAUCUUAGCCUUUUAUAAAUAUUAUUAGCUUUAGAUGAGGUCUGUGUUGGCAAUUUCUGUAACUAAUUGGCUAACAAGUGUUUGGAAGGAGGUCACAUGUAGGAAAUGAACAAAAAAAAGCGAGGUGGCUCCACAUAACAUUAGAAUUUAGAAGCAACACUUGCUUUGGGACUUCCUCUCUUGAGAUUGCUAUGAUGGCUAAAGAUCACUCGUAUACUGCAAGUAAUCCUUCCUUUGCAUCAUCCCUUAUGGUCCACCAUUGAAUAAUCAUUUUCAUUUCUUCAAGAAAUAUAUUAAAUUAAACACUCUUUUAACCAAUAAGCAAGCCUAAUAAACUUCUCAUAAUUGUUAUUACUUUUUAACUAUUUCAUAUUAACUUUAGUCUAAACUCGAGACAUUAAAGAUAAAUUUUGGUCUUAGCUCUAGAACUCAGGAUUGCCCAUUAUUUGACUUAUCUAGAGCAGCAACUUCUAGGGAUCAUCAUAGGUAAUAAAAGUAAAAUUUAUUCUGGAACAUAAGGAAUUAGGAAAUUUCUAAAGUAGUCAACAUAUGUUAUCAUCCAAUACGUGUUACCAGGUACCAAAGAUUAAAGAUACCAUUAAAUAAAUACCCAUAAGCCAAAAUUAAUGUACUAGCUUUGAAAAGUCAAGUGGUCAAAUAUGCAAGGCUCAUGCUCUCCCUGUAUAUAUAUACAUGUAUCCAUUAAUCUCCAUCACCUAUCUUCAACUACAAAUUUGCACUGCUUCGUGGAGCAUCAGCUCAACAAAUCAAAGGUUUCUAUUAACUUCUAAGCUCUCUGGAAUUGCUCAUUAUUCACAAGGCAAAGGGAUGAUGACGGAAAGCAGCUUAGAGGACAUGCUAUUGAAGGUGGCCAUGUUUGCUGUGGUGCAAGCACUGGUUUAUAUCAUCCUUUCCAAAUCAUCAAACAUCUUCUCCAAGACCAUAGAUAGAUCAUCUAGCUUCAAGACAGCUCGUUCUGUUAGCAUUCGAAGGAUUCUUGCUGCUCUAGAAGACUUGCCUAGUGGUGGUGAACUCUCUCCUUCUCCAAAGAAUUGACCAUCAUCCUCUACGCCGCAUAAGUCAACAGAUAAAGAUCGGAGAUCAUAGGCUUCAAAAGAUAUGUUUUGAUUAUGUAUACAAGUUCUAUAUAUUCAGUUUGUUACAGCUGUGCAUAUACAUAUAUGGAUUUGAGUAUUUGAUAAUAUGAUUCUUUAGUUAUUUGAUUUGAUUUUCAAUAUUGGAAUCCUAGAAUGAGUAAAGCGAUGGGUUUUUCUUAA